AGCGAACAUUGGCGGUAGGCUUAACACAUGCAAGUCGAGCGAGGCGUAAUAGUCGAGCGGCGAACGGGUGAGUAAUACAUGGAAAUCUACCCUGAAGUGGGGGAUAACGUCCAGAAAUGGACGCUAAUACCGCAUAAUCCAUAUUGGGAAAGCGUUGCAGCGCUUUAGGAUGAGUCCAUGGCUGAUUAGCUUGUUGGUGAGGUAACGGCUCACCAAGGCGACGAUCAGUAGCUGGUCUGAGAGGAUGACCAGCCAAACUGGAACUGAGACACGGUCCAGACUCCUACGGGAGGCAGCAGUGGGGAAUCUUGCGCAAUGGGGGCAACCCUGACGCAGCCAUACCGCGUGAGUGAUGAAGGUCUUCGGAUUGUAAAGCACUUUCAGCAGGGACGACGAUGACGGUACCUGCAGAAGAAGUCACGGCUAACUUCGUGCCAGCAGCCGCCGUAA
Molecule: ribosomal RNA, 450 nt
Filed under: uncultured bacterium
Lineage: Bacteria
Description: partial 16S ribosomal RNA
Rfam family: Bacterial small subunit ribosomal RNA
Source: RNAcentral